Rosa rugosa (rugosa rose) is the source of this 1701-nucleotide long non-coding RNA. RefSeq lists it as uncharacterized. The transcript is spliced from 7 exons. NCBI's taxonomy places the organism in Eukaryota, Viridiplantae, Streptophyta, Magnoliopsida, Rosales, Rosaceae. The record is from RefSeq and is a predicted model, not a curated record.
CGUCUUUGACUUGCUACCAUUGUAUAUAACAUUAGAUUUAUGGUUAUAAUUUUGAUAGUUUUAUACAUGUGGGAAAGUUCGAUUCACGAUAUGGAUUAAUUGUAUAAUUCACCCCCACUCCAACCCAUUAGAUUUAUGUCUUUGACAGUGUUGUGUUGCUAUCUAAAACUGCUGUUAGGCUGGUGUAUUUGUAUGUGAACAACAUAUAAGUAGUAGCUACUGUCAAUCUGUAGUUUAAAUAAAACAAAAUUGGUUCAGAAAAAAAGAAUUGCAAAAUAGUGCAGAUGAUAACCAUUUCAUUUAACUGAAGUAGGACUUGGCUACAUUGGUAACCAAACCUCAAUUUGGAGACACUGCUUACCAAGAAAGUUUCUGGGUUUACUUCCUAUACAAUAAUAUCUUAAUUUAAGGCAAGAUCUGGAAAGACCCAAGAUUUUACGAGAAAAAGAUAAGUGAGUGUGAAAAUGGAGUACAGGAAGCUCAAAGAUCAGGAUGAAAAUGGAAAUUCAGCUGCCGACGACAUGAAAAAUUUACGGGGAACUCCGCUUUCUAUUGCACCAACUAUGGGAGAGGGGCCAAUAGACCGAAAAUGGAAGCACAAGUAUGAUUGAAGUAGAGGAGCUUCAGCCAUAUUCACAUGGAUAUACGGAGCUAAACUUUUUCUGAAGGAUGAGGGAACAAUGAUGACCCACAUUGACACCAUAUUCAAAUUGGGGUUAACAUGAAGUCUGUUUAUCUUUUAAUGUAACAUUAAAUCUUUAUUUAUUGGGUUUAACCUAGCUGUGAAAAUAACAUUUGGCUUUUUUCCUACUGCUGAACUUGUAAUAUAUAAGACCUCUGCUUAAUUAAGAUGGCAGAAAAGAAUGCAGCGGAGGAUUUUAAUCGAGGAAGCUGAGAAUAAGCAGGACGACGACAUGUGGACAUCAGUGAAUAAUCAAAGAAAUAAGCUUUUCCAGAGAUGGAUGUCCAAGGAUGCUAUUGAUUUAUUUUGAUUGAGGUGAGAGGGAAUCUAGAAGACAAUUAUCUCAGUUCCUGAUAGUGCUCAUGGCCUCUGUAGGUGUGGCUCCUUCAUCUGGAUUAGGAGACGGCAGUGGAAAUACGGUUGCCCAGUGAGAUGAAUAACAUGAAAAUUAGGGAUGACGUACAAGAUAAACAAUACCCACUUAUUAUUGGCUCAAUCUUUGAUCCUGCUGUGGACUUUUCAAAAGGAGUAUUCUUCUUUUCUUAUCAGUUAUGACUUAUGGAGUUGGUCUCUGGUCUUGGUGGCUGAAAUUUUUUUUGUUACAAUGUAGGCAUUGACGUAAUGAUGUGUUGACCUGCUGUUCAAAUUCUUUGUUACAACUUCAGCAAUUAAGCUGUUUUUUAAUUCUAGGAGUUGACCUGGCUUAUAUGCUCAUUGGUAUUGAAAAGAGACACCUACCUGAAGCAUAGCCGGAAGCAAAAUUGAGCUGUGAAAAUCUUAAUCAAAGAUUAUGUAGUGAACCUUGAACGGCAGGAGACGUGAUGAUUUAGAAUGUUGAUGAGGAAAUACUGUAGUCAUGGGAGAUUCUUCUGCAGCAUUUAUACACACGUAACUGUUGAUGGCAAAGCUUCUAUCCCAAAAUUCCAUUUUUGCAAUAUGUAAAUAUACAAAUCUACUUAAAUACCAGCUUUUGUAAUAUGUAAAGUUAUGACAUUCACCAAUAAACGUUUCUUAGUUUA